This 755-nucleotide ribosomal RNA is filed under the name uncultured bacterium. RNAcentral's name for it is "bacterial SSU rRNA". It matches the Rfam family "Bacterial small subunit ribosomal RNA", at positions 56 to 838 of the family's 1533-position model. The record is from RNAcentral.
UGCAGUCUACUUGAGUCUUCGGGCUUGGGUGGCGGACGGGUGAGUAACGCGUAAAGAGCUUGCCUCACAGACAGGGACAACAUUUGGAAACGGAUGCUAAUACCUGAUAUUAUGAACUAUGCGCAUGCAUAGAUUAUGAAAGCUAAAUGCACUGUGAGAGAGCUUUGCGUCCCAUUAGCUAGUUGGAGAGGUAACGGCUCACCAAGGCGAUGAUGGGUAGCCGGCCUGAGAGGGUGAACGGCCACAAGGGGACUGAGACACGGCCCUUACUCCUACGGGAGGCAGCAGUGGGGAAUAUUGGACAAUGGACCGAGAGUCUGAUCCAGCAAUUCUGUGUGCACGAUGAAGUUUUUCGGAAUGUAAAGUGCUUUCAGUUGGGAAGAAGAAAGUGACGGUACCAACAGAAGAAGCGACGGCUAAAUACGUGCCAGCAGCCGCGGUAAUACGUAUGUCGCAAGCGUUAUCCGGAUUUAUUGGGCGUAAAGCGCGUCUAGGCGGUUUAUUAAGUCUGAUGUGAAAAUGCGGGGCUCAACUCCGUAUUGCGUUGGAAACUGGUAGACUGGAGUACUGGAGAGGUAAGCGGAACUACAAGUGUAGAGGUGAAAUUCGUAGAUAUUUGUAGGAAUGCCGAUGGGGAAGCCAGCUUACUGGACAGAUACUGACGCUGAAGCGCGAAAGCGUGGGUAGCAAACAGGAUUAGAUACCCUGGUAGUCCACGCUGUAAACGAUGAUUACUAGGUGGUGGGGGUCGAACC